This 253-nucleotide ribosomal RNA is filed under the name uncultured bacterium. RNAcentral describes it as "partial 16S ribosomal RNA". It matches the Rfam family "Bacterial small subunit ribosomal RNA", at positions 524 to 776 of the family's 1533-position model. The record is from RNAcentral.
UACGAAGGGGGCUAGCGUUGUUCGGCAUCACUGGGCGAAAAGCGCACGUCGGCGGAUUUGUAAGUCAGGGGUGAAAUCCCGGGGCUCAACCUCGGAACUGCCUUUGAUACUGCAAGUCUUGAGUUCGGGAGAGGUGAGUGGAAUUCCUAGUGUAGAGGUGAAAUUCGUAGAUAUUAGGAAGAACACCAGUGGCGAAGGCGGCUCACUGGCCCGAUACUGACGCUGAGGUGCGAAAGCGUGGGGAGCACACAGG